This 115-nucleotide ribosomal RNA is filed under the name Klebsiella pneumoniae. RNAcentral also lists the same sequence under 2 other names. The record is from RNAcentral. Lineage: Bacteria; Pseudomonadati; Pseudomonadota; Gammaproteobacteria; Enterobacterales; Enterobacteriaceae.
UGGCGGCAUUAGCGCGGUGGUCCCACCUGACCCCAUGCCGAACUCAGAAGUGAAACGCCGUAGCGCCGAUGGUAGUGUGGGGUCUCCCCAUGUGAGAGUAGGGAACUGCCAGGCA